GACGAACGCUGGCGGCGUGCCUAAUACAUGCAAGUUGAGCGCUGAAGGUUGGUCCUUGUACCAACUGGCUGAGCAGCGAACGGGUGAGUAACGCGUGGGGAAUCUGCCUUUGAGCGGGGGACAACAUUUGGAAACGAAUGCUAAUACCGCAUAAAAACUUUAAACACAAGUUUUAAGUUUGAAAGAUGCAAUUGCAUCACUCAAAGAUGAUCCCGCGUUGUAUUAGCUAGUUGGUGAGGUAAAGGCUCACCAAGGCGAUGAUACAUAGCCGACCUGAGAGGGUGAUCGGCCACAUUGAGACUGAGACACGGCCCAAACUCCUACGGGAGGCAGCAGUAGGGAAUCUUCGGCAAUGGACGAAAGUCUGACCGAGCAACGCCGCGUGAGUGAAGAAGGUUUUCGGAUCGUAAGACACUGUUGGUAGAGAAGAACGUUGGUGAGAGUGGAAAGCUCAUCAAGUGACGGUAACUACCCAGAAAGGGACGGCUAACUACGUG
Molecule: ribosomal RNA, 497 nt
Filed under: uncultured bacterium
Lineage: Bacteria
Description: partial 16S ribosomal RNA
Rfam family: Bacterial small subunit ribosomal RNA
Source: RNAcentral